GGUAAGAUGGCCGAGAAGGUGGCGAAUUGUAGCCUCGCCCACGGAACAGUGUUCCUCUUAUCA
RNAcentral lists this transfer RNA (63 nucleotides) under Hemitheconyx caudicinctus (African fat-tailed gecko). RNAcentral's name for it is "tRNA-Tyr". The record is from RNAcentral. Lineage: Eukaryota; Metazoa; Chordata; Lepidosauria; Squamata; Eublepharidae.